RNAcentral lists this ribosomal RNA (550 nucleotides) under fungal endophyte. Its description in RNAcentral is "eukaryotic LSU rRNA". The stretch from base 191 to 344 matches the Rfam family "5.8S ribosomal RNA". Lineage: Eukaryota; Fungi. The record is from RNAcentral.
CGGAGGGAUCAUUAAAGAGUUCUAUAACUCCCAAACCCAUGUGAACAUACCUAACGUUGCCUCGGCAGGUCGCACCUACCUUGUAGCACCCUACCCUGUAGGGCCUACCCGGGAGGUGCGGGUAAGCCUGCCGGCGGCCCACCAAACUCUGUUUGAUAUUGAAUUCUGAACCUAUAACUAAAUAAGUUAAAACUUUCAACAACGGAUCUCUUGGUUCUGGCAUCGAUGAAGAACGCAGCGAAAUGCGAUAAGUAAUGUGAAUUGCAGAAUUCAGUGAAUCAUCGAAUCUUUGAACGCAUAUUGCGCCCAUUAGUAUUCUAGUGGGCAGGACCGUUCGAGCGUCAUUUCAACCCUUAAGCCUUCGUUGCUUAGUGUUGGGAGCCUACGGCAACGUAGCUCCUCAAAGUUAGUGGCGGAGUUGGUUCACACUCUAGACGUAGUAAUUUUUUAUCUCGCCUAUUAGUUGGACUAAUCCCCUGCCGUAAAACCCCCAAUUUAUCAAGGUUGACCUCGAAUCGGUUCAGACAAACUCGCUAAAUUGAAGCAUCUU